GUUAGGAUGGCCGAGCGGUCUAAGGCGCUGCAUUAAGGCUGCAGUCUCUUCGGAGGCGUGGGUUCGAAUCCCACUUCUGACA
Molecule: non-coding RNA, 82 nt
Organism: Sitodiplosis mosellana (orange wheat blossom midge)
Lineage: Eukaryota; Metazoa; Arthropoda; Insecta; Diptera; Cecidomyiidae
Source: the annotation of a RefSeq genome assembly